This 253-nucleotide ribosomal RNA is filed under the name uncultured bacterium. Its description in RNAcentral is "partial 16S ribosomal RNA". It matches the Rfam family "Bacterial small subunit ribosomal RNA", at positions 524 to 776 of the family's 1533-position model. The record is from RNAcentral.
UACGGAGGGUGCGAGCGUUAAUCGGAAUUACUGGGCGUAAAGGGCGCGCAGGCGGGCUUUUAAGUGAGAUGUGAAAUCCCCGGGCUUAACCUGGGAAUAGCAUUUGAGACUGGGGGUCUAGAGUACGUUAGGGGGGGUUAGAAUUCCAGGUGUAGCGGUGAAAUGCGUAGAGAUGUGGAGGAAUACCGAAGGCGAAGGCAGCCCCCUGGGAUAGUACUGACGCUGAGGUGCGAAAGCGUGGGGAGCAAACAGG